AACUCUGCUGUGUUAUCCAUGGCUGGUCUAAAAUGCAUGAGUGUACCCUGCUGUUGCAGCGUCUUCAGUGUGAUAAGCAUCCUCACUGGACAAAGUUCCCUUUAGGACACGCAUGCAAGUGGGCUCUGCGCUUCUAACAGUCCCGCUUUUGGGACAGCUUUGACAACUUGACCUCAGAUCGGGUGGGACUACCCGCUGAACUUAAGCAUAUCAAUAAGCGGAGGAAAAGAAACUAACAAGGAUUCCCCUAGUAACGGCGAGUGAAGAGGGAAAAGCUCAAAUUUUGAAUCUGGUGUCUUUGGCGCCCGAGUUGUAAUCUAGAGAAGUGUUUUCUGCCUCGGACCACACAUAAAUUCCCUGGAAUGGGGUUUCAUAGAGGGUGAGAAUCCCGUUUGUGGUGUGGACUACCUUGGCUCUGUGAUACACUCUCAACGAGUCGAGUUGUUUGGGAAUGCAGCUCAAAAUGGGUGGUAAAUUCCAUCUAAAGCUAAAUAUUGGCGAGAGACCGAUAGCGAACAAGUACCGUGAGGGAAAGAUGAAAAGCACUUUGGAAAGAGAGUGAAACAGUACGUGAAAUUGUUGAAAGGGAAGCGUUUGAAGUCAGUCACAUCUGUCGGGACUCAGCCUGGCUUUGCCUGGUGUACUUCCUGGUGGAUGGGUCAGUGUCAGUUUUGACCGGGAGAAAAAGGCUUGGGGAAUGUGGCUGUCUUCGGGCAGUGUUAUAGCCCCUUGUCAUAUGUCUCGGUUGGGACUGAGGUUUGCAGCACGCCUUAUGGCCGGGGUUCGCCCUCGGUACGUGCUUAGGACGCUGGCAUAAUGGCUUUAAGCGACCCGCUGA
Molecule: ribosomal RNA, 838 nt
Filed under: uncultured Sebacinales
Lineage: Eukaryota; Fungi; Basidiomycota; Agaricomycetes; Sebacinales
Description: eukaryotic LSU rRNA
Rfam family: Eukaryotic large subunit ribosomal RNA (bases 169-838)
Source: RNAcentral